GUGCUUGCUUCGGCAGCACAUAUACUUAAAUUGGAACGAUACAGAGAAGAUUAGCAUGGCCCCUGAGCAAGGAUGACAUGCAAAUUCGUGAAGUGUUCCAUAGUUUU
RNAcentral lists this small nuclear RNA (107 nucleotides) under Tursiops truncatus (common bottlenose dolphin). Lineage: Eukaryota; Metazoa; Chordata; Mammalia; Artiodactyla; Delphinidae. The record is from RNAcentral.